Molecule: ribosomal RNA, 455 nt
Filed under: uncultured bacterium
Lineage: Bacteria
Description: SSU rRNA
Rfam family: Bacterial small subunit ribosomal RNA
Source: RNAcentral
AGAGCGAACGCUGGCGGCAUGCCUAACACAUGCAAGUCGCACGGUUCGGGGGCGACUUCGGGCAGUGGCGGACGGGUGAGCAACGCGUAGGGAUCUAUCCUUGGAUGGGGGACAACCGCGGGAAACCGCGGCUAAUACCGCAUGAUGCCUGAGGGCCAAAGCUCGCGAGAGCGUCUGGGGAGGAGCCUGCGUCCGAUUAGCUAGUUGGUAAGGUAACGGCUUACCAAGGCUACGAUCGGUAGCUGGUCUGAGAGGAUGAUCAGCCACACUGGGACUGAGACACGGCCCAGACUCCUACGGAGGCAGCAGUGGGGAAUAUUGGACAAUGGGCGCAAGCCUGAUCCAGCAAUGCCGCGUGGGUGAAGAAGGUCUUCGGGUUGUAAAGCUCUUUUACCCGGGAAGAUAAUGACUGUACCGGGAGAAUAAGCCCCGGCUAACUCCGUGCCAGCAGCCGC